RNAcentral lists this ribosomal RNA (342 nucleotides) under uncultured Coriobacteriales bacterium. RNAcentral describes it as "partial 16S ribosomal RNA". The record is from RNAcentral. Lineage: Bacteria; Bacillati; Actinomycetota; Coriobacteriia; Coriobacteriales.
GGAGUCUGGGCCGUGUCUCAGUCCCAAUGUGGCCGAUCACCCUCUCAGGUCGGCUACUGAUCGUUGACUUGGUGGGCCGUUACCUCACCAACUAUCUAAUCAGACGCGAACUCACCUCAUACUGGAUUGCUCCUUUCACCUCAAUGGGAUGCCCCAUCGUGGUCCUACGCGGUAUUAGCACAUCUUUCGAUGCGUUAUCCCCCUGUAUGAGACAGACUAUUCACGCGUUACUCACCCGUCCGCCACUCGGAUAGCCAGGAGCAAGCUCCCAUCUACCCUCGUUCGACUUGCAUGUGUUAAGCACGCCGCCAGCGUCGUCCUGAGCCACGGAGUCAAACUACU